GCUCAGUGGUUAAGAGCACUGGCUGCUCUUCCAGAGGACCUGGGUUCAAUUCCCAG
Non-coding RNA from Cricetulus griseus (Chinese hamster), 56 nucleotides. NCBI's taxonomy places the organism in Eukaryota, Metazoa, Chordata, Mammalia, Rodentia, Cricetidae. The record is from Rfam.